Molecule: small nucleolar RNA, 76 nt
Organism: Sphenodon punctatus (tuatara)
Lineage: Eukaryota; Metazoa; Chordata; Lepidosauria; Sphenodontia; Sphenodontidae
Gene: SNORD83
Rfam family: Small nucleolar RNA SNORD83
About the family: U83 (SNORD83) and U84 (SNORD84) are members of the C/D class of snoRNA which contain the C (UGAUGA) and D (CUGA) box motifs. They act as guanine methylation guides but lack complementarity to ribosomal RNA. U83 and U84 are spliced from introns 5 and 4 of the BAT1 gene in mammals.
Source: Ensembl
GCCAAAUGAUGUGAAUUGGAUGACAUUAGCACUCUGUGCAAAGAUGACUCUCAUCUAUCACCCAAUGCUGAUGGCU